This is a long non-coding RNA of Glycine soja, 1404 nucleotides long. RefSeq lists it as uncharacterized. The transcript has 5 exons. NCBI's taxonomy places the organism in Eukaryota, Viridiplantae, Streptophyta, Magnoliopsida, Fabales, Fabaceae. The record is from RefSeq and is a predicted model, not a curated record.
CACAUUUGUAUCUGGUAGUAACUCCUCUGUCACACACAGUCAACCACCCACGCCGCCAUCAUAGGCUCGCUGCUGCCGCGCCGUCCUGUGACUCACGUUUGUAUCUAGUAAUGAGUGGCUCUGCCUACAAGGAGAAGAAACGGCAAGCUUUGCCUGCAAGGAGAACAAAAACAACAGUUUCAAAGGUGAAGAUAGUGUAAAGUGGAGCUUUAUUAACUCACUGAAAGAGAUAUGUCAUCAGGGGUGUUGACCCUCCCUGACCCCUGUCACAUGACUCUAGUGGAAAAGGGACAAUUGGAAAGAAGAAACGAUAUAUGGUUAGACUACUACCACCUAGAGAUAGUCUGCCAUCAUCUACCAUAUCCCCAUCUACUAUAUCUAUGCUAAUCAGAUCUUUGGAUGUUGCACCUACACCAUCUUCACCUUCAACUGAAGUUAGACCAUAUUCAUCUCUGAUUGGUGCAUGUGGAUCGUCCCUGGUACCUACAUCAACACCAUCCUCAUCCCUAAUUGAUGCACGUGGACCGUCUCCAGUACCUACAUGCACACCAUACCCAUCCCCGGUUGUAGCAAACAAGCCUAUUGAUGAAGAAGUUCCGAAUUUGGCCAUGGAAGACCCUCCCUCCCCCCUCAAUGAUUGUCUUAUGGUUACACUUAUCAAUGAAACAUAAGUAUUACAAAAUUUAAAUAAUUAUCAUUAUAUAUGAUACAUCAUUUGAUCUUUUACUUUUUCAUGAAUUAUUUUUUCUAUUUAGGUUUCAUCCAUUUAAGGUUGCGGCAAAGGCUAUCACAUUGUCCAUUAGGCAACAAUUUGCUAACCCAUGGCCUACACUAUGAGCAAUUCUAAAAGAUCAUCAUGAACUUUUUUUCUAGUAUUUUAAGGAAGAAUUUUAGGUUAGACUAUCUCAAGCUAGGUCUGAUUUUGCAUCAAGUGUUGGUGAAUCACAAAUCACUCCUUUACACCCUACUGAAGAACAAAGACUUAAGACUCGGUGUUGGGUUACAGUUGCGGGACCAAAGCAUACAAGAUGCCUUUACGGUACUGGAGAUGUUGCUCGUAGUUAAAAAUGUGGAGAUAACAACUUCAUGCAACAUACACAAAGGUCUUCUAGUCACGCUCAAGAUUCAACGAAGAUUAACCGACUAAGGGAGGAGCUUCGUCAAUCAAAGGAGGAGAUCCAUGUAUUUCAGUUAGUUGUCCUUCAGUUCCUACCUCCUGAAGCGCAAAACAUUAUUCAUCAACAUCAACAACAUCACCAGUAGUAUCAGGACCAACAACAACAAUAAGACAAUGACCAACCAGAUGACUAGCAACAACAACAGAAUGACCAACAACCAGAUGACCGGCAGAGACACUCUCCCAUUGAAUAUUUUGAUUACUGACUUAGCAACAUAAAAUUAUUA